AGUGAGAGUGAGGGAGGGGGUGACUAGUGACAGAGUGAGGGAGGGGGUGACUAGUGACAGAGUUAGGGAGGGAAGGGGUGACUAGGGAGAGAGUGAGGGAGGUGGUGACUAGUGACAGUCACCCCCUCCCUCACUCUGUCACUAGUCACUCCUCCCCUCCCUCACUCUGUCACUAGUCACUCCCUCCCUCCCUCUGUCACUGGUCACCCACUCCCUCCCUCACUCUGUCACCAGUCAUUCUCAUCACUUUCUCU
RNAcentral lists this small RNA (254 nucleotides) under Pelobates cultripes (western spadefoot toad). The record is from RNAcentral. Lineage: Eukaryota; Metazoa; Chordata; Amphibia; Anura; Pelobatidae.